CCGCGAAACCCCGCGUCAGCGGGGUCGCCCCACUUAUUCCGCUGUCGGGGCCUGAUGAGCAGAGCGGA
This 68-nucleotide non-coding RNA is filed under the name Sulfobacillus benefaciens. Lineage: Bacteria; Bacillati; Bacillota; Clostridia; Eubacteriales; Clostridiales Family XVII. Incertae Sedis. The record is from RNAcentral.